RNAcentral lists this ribosomal RNA (618 nucleotides) under uncultured bacterium. RNAcentral's name for it is "bacterial SSU rRNA". It matches the Rfam family "Bacterial small subunit ribosomal RNA", at positions 67 to 731 of the family's 1533-position model. The record is from RNAcentral.
CGCACUCUUCGGAGUGAGUGGCAGACGGGUGAGUAACGCGUGGAAACGUGCCUUUCUCUACGGAAUAGCCCUUGGAAACGAGGUGUAAUACCGUAUACGCCCUUAGGGGGAAAGAUUUAUCGGAGAAAGAUCGGUCCGCGUUAGAUUAGUUUGUUGGUGGGGUAAUGGCCUACCAAGACUACGAUCUAUAGCUGAUUUGAGAGGAUGAUCAGCCACACUGGAACUGAGACACGGUCCAGACUCCUACGGGAGGCAGCAGUGGGGAAUCUUGGACAAUGGGGGAAACCCUGAUCCAGCCAUGCCGCGUGAAUGAUGAAGGCCUUAGGGUUGUAAAAUUCUUUCACCGGGGAAGAUAAUGACGGUACCCGGAGAAGAAGCUCCGGCUAACUUCGUGCCAGCAGCCGCGGUAAUACGAAGGGAGCUAGCGUUGUUCGGAAUUACUGGGCGUAAAGCGCACGUAGGCGGAUUAGUAAGUAAGAGGUGAAAUCCCAGGGCUCAACCCUGGAACUGCCUUUUAAACUGCUAGUCUAGAGGAUAGGAGAGGUCAGUGGAAUACCGAGUGUAGAGGUGAAAUUCGUAGAUAUUCGGUGGAACACCAGUGGCGAAGGCGACUGACUG